RNAcentral lists this ribosomal RNA (304 nucleotides) under Granaster nutrix. RNAcentral describes it as "partial 12S ribosomal RNA". Lineage: Eukaryota; Metazoa; Echinodermata; Asteroidea; Forcipulatida; Asteriidae. The record is from RNAcentral.
CUUAUAAACCUUCCUGGAGGAGCUUGCUAUUAAACCGAUAAUCCACGUAACACCUCACCAACUUUAGAACACUCAGCCUGUAUACCAUCGUCGUCAGUCUACUCCUCAAGGAUAGUAUACCAAAGGGGCACACGCCCACUACGUCAGAUCGAGGUGCAGCUUAUAAGUUGGGAAUCAGUGAGCUACAAUAUUUUUACAAUAAAAAUAACAUUAUGGAAAGACAAAUUAAUACUUUGUCUCAAAACAGGAUUCAGAAGUAAUGAUCAAAAGAAAAUAAUCAUGAACAACAAGCUCUAUAAUUCGC